Molecule: ribosomal RNA, 465 nt
Filed under: uncultured Klebsiella sp.
Lineage: Bacteria; Pseudomonadati; Pseudomonadota; Gammaproteobacteria; Enterobacterales; Enterobacteriaceae
Description: bacterial SSU rRNA
Rfam family: Bacterial small subunit ribosomal RNA
Source: RNAcentral
CCUACGGGAGGCUGCAGUGGGGAAUAUUGCACAAUGGGCGCAAGCCUGAUGCAGCCAUGCCGCGUGUGUGAAGAAGGCCUUCGGGUUGUAAAGCACUUUCAGCGGGGAGGAAGGCGUUAAGGUUAAUAACCUUGGCGAUUGACGUUACCCGCAGAAGAAGCACCGGCUAACUCCGUGCCAGCAGCCGCGGUAAUACGGAGGGCGCAAGCGUUAAUCGGAAUUACUGGGCGUAAAGCGCACGCAGGCGGUCUGUCAAGUCGGAUGUGAAAUCCCCGGGCUCAACCUGGGAACUGCAUUCGAAACUGGCAGGCUAGAGUCUUGUAGAGGGGGCUAGAAUUCCAGGUGUAGCGGUGAAAUGCGUAGAGAUCUGGAGGAAUACCGGUGGCGAAGGCGGCCCCCUGGACAAAGACUGACGCUCAGGUGCGAAAGCGUGGGGAGCAAACAGGAUUAGAUACCCGGGUAGUC